This 453-nucleotide ribosomal RNA is filed under the name uncultured bacterium. Its description in RNAcentral is "bacterial SSU rRNA". It matches the Rfam family "Bacterial small subunit ribosomal RNA", at positions 339 to 795 of the family's 1533-position model. The record is from RNAcentral.
CUACGGGAGGCAGCAGUGGGGAAUUUUGCGCAAUGGGCGAAAGCCUGACGCAGCAACGCCGCGUGGAGGAUGAAGGCCUUCGGGUCGUAAACUCCUGUCGAUGGGGACGAAAGCCUCGCAAGAGGUAUGACUGUACCCGUUGAGGAAGCCACGGCUAACUCCGUGCCAGCAGCCGCGGUAAUACGGAGGUGGCAAGCGUUGUUCGGAAUUACUGGGCGUAAAGGGCGCGUAGGCGGCCUGACAAGUCAGAUGUGAAAGCCCCGGGCUUAACUCGGGAAUUGCAUCUGAAACUGUCUGGCUUGAGUUCUGGAGGGGAUGGUGGAAUUCCCAGUGUAGCGGUGAAAUGCGUAGAUAUUGGGAGGAACACCUGCGGCGAAGGCGGCCAUCUGGACAGUGACUGACGCUGAGGCGCGAAAGCUAGGGUAGCAAACGGGAUUAGAUACCCCUGUAGUC